Molecule: ribosomal RNA, 402 nt
Filed under: Verrucomicrobiota bacterium
Lineage: Bacteria; Pseudomonadati; Verrucomicrobiota
Description: Verrucomicrobia bacterium partial 16S ribosomal RNA
Rfam family: Bacterial small subunit ribosomal RNA
Source: RNAcentral
UGGGGAAUUUUGCACAAUGGGGGAAACCCUGAUGCAGCGACGCCGCGUGAUUUAGAAGGCCUUCGGGUUGUAAAAAUCUUUUGUAUGGGAAGAAAAUGACAGUACCAUACGAAUAAGGACCGGCUAAUUACGUGCCAGCAGCCGCGGUAAUACGUAAGGUCCGAGCGUUGUCCGGAAUCAUUGGGCGUAAAGGGUACGUAGGCGGAUAAGCAAGUUAGAAGUGAAAUCCUAUAGCUCAACUAUAGUAAGCUUUUAAAACUGCUCAUCUUGAGGUAUGGAAGGGAAAGUGGAAUUCCUAGUGUAGCGGUGAAAUGCGCAGAUAUUAGGAGGAAUACCGGUGGCGAAGGCUACUUUCUGGCCAUAUACUGACGCUGAGGUACGAAAGCGGGGGUAGCAAACAGG